ACAUCUCUAGAGAAUUGUAGUUUACCUUCACUUGUGUUCUGUGAUCUUUAGAAUUUAUAUUGUUAUUUGUAUGUUAGGUGAAAAUGUCUUGAUGAGUGAAUUUGGUUGUUCACGUCUAGACAUAGAUCCAAGAUUCCCUUACUUUGAUCUUGCAAGUUACAUGUAAGUCUUUAAAGAUUUUAACAUUUAUGUAGUUUACAAGUAACAA
RNAcentral lists this small RNA (208 nucleotides) under Arabidopsis thaliana (thale cress). RNAcentral's name for it is "ATSL031200". Lineage: Eukaryota; Viridiplantae; Streptophyta; Magnoliopsida; Brassicales; Brassicaceae. The record is from RNAcentral.